Molecule: small RNA, 150 nt
Filed under: Actinospica robiniae
Lineage: Bacteria; Bacillati; Actinomycetota; Actinomycetes; Catenulisporales; Actinospicaceae
Also listed under: 1 other name
Description: c-di-AMP sequence
Rfam family: c-di-AMP riboswitch aptamer (ydaO/yuaA leader)
About the family: This family represents a conserved RNA structure found upstream of the ydaO and yuaA genes in Bacillus subtilis and related genes in other bacteria. The ydaO/yuaA element is thought to act as a genetic "off" switch for the ydaO and yuaA genes in its native state.
Source: RNAcentral
CGGAUGUGACCGCCGAGUCCACGCGAGUGGAGCCGGGGACCCACUUCGGUGCUCCCCGCCGCGGGGUGAAUCGCUCCGGAACCGGAGCGUAGGGCGUCUCUUUCCGCCCGAACCCGUCAGCUAACCCGGUAGGCGGACGAGGGAGAGGGC